This 210-nucleotide long non-coding RNA is filed under the name Setaria italica (foxtail millet). RNAcentral describes it as "long non-coding RNA (SITA_LNC005016)". Lineage: Eukaryota; Viridiplantae; Streptophyta; Magnoliopsida; Poales; Poaceae. The record is from RNAcentral.
AAGCGAUGGAUGAUGUCGGUGAAGAACUGUACCGCCUGUUCGGACUUGAUUUGCGCAACUGGUCGUGCCUCGAUCCACUUGGAGAACUUGUCGACGGCGACAAGCAGGUGGGUGAAGCCCCCGGGCGCCUUCUUGAAGGGCCCGACAAGGUCCAGCCCCCAGACCGCGAAGGGCCACGUGAUGGGGAUCGUCUGGAGCGCCUGUGCAGGC